RNAcentral lists this long non-coding RNA (216 nucleotides) under Glycine max (soybean). RNAcentral describes it as "long non-coding RNA (GMAX_LNC004687)". The record is from RNAcentral. Lineage: Eukaryota; Viridiplantae; Streptophyta; Magnoliopsida; Fabales; Fabaceae.
GAAAUCAUCAUAAUUUGGGAGAGACAAGAUCUAUUCGUUGAGAGGUGUCAAUUUAUGAUUGUCAGUGGUUCGGAAUACCUUGAUCAUACCAAAAAAACUACGGCCAAUGCUAUUCGCUUCGUGUAAUUACAUAUGUUGUUGCUUUCCAAUAUUAAAAUUUGAGUGCCCAUCUUUAAUAUGAUAGUUAUCAAUGUGAAACUCUAGUUUUGAUUGUAA